Molecule: non-coding RNA, 7194 nt
Organism: Phasianus colchicus (ring-necked pheasant)
Lineage: Eukaryota; Metazoa; Chordata; Aves; Galliformes; Phasianidae
Source: RefSeq, a predicted model, not a curated record
CUCAGAAGCAUUUAUUGGAGCAUAAAAACACUUUAGAGACAACAGAACACAGCCAUUAUUCAGUGAUAUUCAGUGUAACAUCAACAGAACAGCACAUAGAUUUUGUUUGCUGACCCCAGAGCCAAGCUCAGCUCCUGGCUGCAGGGCCACGUGGGUGAUGUGAAGCUGCCCAGAGCCCAUGCAGGCUUUGCACCAGGGAAUGAACUCUGAUUCGGACUCAACUCAGAUUCUUAUCACAUUUCCUGUAGCUUGCAAUGAAAUUUGAGAGAAGCAAGGCCUACCAGAGCAGGGUCGUGCACAGUGAAGUCUGUUUAAACAAUGUUAGGUUCAGCAUAAUGAUUUUGUGUGAUAGCAACGGAAAACAAAGCAGUCUCUAACAAAAACAAGCCAUGACUUCAACAGACUGAGAUUUUGUUCUGUUUGCUGCAAACCUAGGUAUGAGAAGGUGAACGUAACCAAAGGGAAACCUGGACCUUGGAUAGGGAAAUAUAUUCCCUAUUCUCUCAGUAAGUCAGCAUGUAGGGCUUAGGAAAGGUCUCAGAGCUGGACACAGGGCACAGCUACCACUCCACACCAUCUCACGGGGCUCUGCUCCUCACUGUGGGGUUGACCGAGCCUUGAGCCCAGCCCUGGUGGAAUGGGAUGAGCCCCACAUGAUGGCUGUGACACCACCAGAGGGCAAAUCAACUGCUAUCUCCACAGCAGCCGACUCCUCGGGGCAGUGCCCUGAGGCAGCUGCCUUAACUGCCCUCCCUGAGGCAACUUCCCGCCCUGAGGUAACUGGCUGGGCGCCAUGUUGUGCCACUGCGCCGUCAUGGCCACCUGUUUCCCUGCAACUAGACACACCAACGGCUGUCCCCAGAUCUCUCAUUCUUGUCUGUGGGAGCACUGUCAUCUCCUAUCCCUUCUCACACAACACACGGCUCUUCACCUUCACAGCGGGCUGUUACCACUAGGAGGGAAGACAGGUAACCAUCUUCAUCCCUGAGGCAAAUUAAGCACAAGUCAGACCACCUGGGCUCCACAGAACAGGUGCAGUGCUGGCCCCACAGGAGAUCCACCCCCUGCCUCGUGCAGAGCUCAGGGCUCGCUGCAAGAAAGGCUACGUGCUGCAGCCAACGUUAGGAAAUCAGAGCACCUGUUCUUUUCUGCCCCUUAAAACAGGAUGCUCUCCAUACGUAUGGCAGCAUGUGAUCUCAUUUAGGGGAUCUUUCCUCCAAGGAUGGGUUGUUCUCGUGGUCCUCAUGCAGCUGGGCUCCCUGCUUGGCAGGAUCAUCCCACAACAGCACUGGGAGCUCUGCAUCUGCCCAAAUAUGCUCGCCUAUGUUUACGUGGAGGAUGACUGGAAAUAAAUGUUAUUCUGGUUCCUGUUAGUUACUGUUUCAAAAUAUUAGAUUUUUUUUUUUAACUGUGGAAAUAAAUACCCAAAAUAUUUGAGUGUUUAUAGAUACAUGUACCCACACAUAUAAACAAGCAUAUGCACGCUGUACUCUGAGCACCAGCUACGUGCUGCAAAGUAUACCAAAAAAUAAUGUGCUUCUUAUGAACCUAAUAGAUAUUUCUGUUUUGUUUUAAAUUCCUCCAAAGACUAAAAAAAAAAAUUACCCAAUUUCAUACAGGCUGCAGCAUGGCAGAACAUUCCUUUGUACCCUGAGGUCAAAGCUCAUUAAUCAACAGCUGUUAUUUCCCUCUGCAGGAGCAGAUAAACCACAAGUGUUAGGGUACAAAUCAGAAAACAACGUCAGUACCAGGUUGCCAGUUUGGAAUAGUUAAAACAUUCCAAAAUGUGUUGCACUGUUAAAUGGGAAAUAAGGGACACCACAGAUGCUUCUAAUAAUUCCAGUUUCAAGUCAGUUUUCCCUCCUUUGUCUUAAAGAGCUUUUGAUGUGUAGUCACAAUAUUGUCUCUCUCUCUGUUUUUAAUAAUUUUAUAUUACCUCAGCAAUAUAACUGUCCUGAAAUAUACUGAACUUUAAUCUCUGAGAGAUCAAACAGGAAGAAAUACGACGGGAUAGAGAGUGACUGAGUUGGGGGCAAUAUUCUCUCCCCCUAUAAAAGCAAGCCCACAGCUAGAUAAAAAUUGCUUCUCAGAUUCCACAAACGUCACAUCUUUAAGAGAGGAUUUCAGGCCCACAGAGAGAGCAGACUUGGGGCCACAAAAAAAAAAAACAACAAAACACAGAGCCAUUGAAGAUGCAGCCAAAAGCAAGCAUGCUCUCCCAGAACUUGAGGAUGUGGUUUGUGUGACUACAUGGUGUAAGAUUGGUCCCAGCACCCUCACAGCUCCUCCAUUUAGCACUGCAACAUCCGAGAACCAUUUGGCUACUACCCUUUCACUGGAAUAAACGCACAGGCUCUGUCUCAAGCAAAACAAAAAAAAAUCUGGGACAAAGGUAUGAGUUUACAUACCAUGAAGACAUUGUGAUGUCUGGGGGGGGAAUUUAUCAGUGCAGUAUCAGUGCACAGAUCAGAUGGGGCACAAAGGAGGUGCUCCAAGGAGUCACUUCAGAACACAGCCAGUUCCCCUCCAAAAGGCUUUUGUUCUCCACGAGCUGAGCUUCCCACAGACAGAAGCCCAGCUUCCCUGAUUUUCCACUGAGGUUCUCCAGAGGAACCAGAGGUGGUGAAAUGCAGCUCUGCAUGUCUGCUCACUCUAUUCCCUGACCACAGAAUGAUGAAUUCAUAUUCUAAAGAAAUACUGGUUAAAAUAUUGUGACAUACAGUGAAGAUGGUGGUUUUUUUUUUUCCUGGCAAAUAAUAACAGUGCUGCAAUAAACAGUGAACUAACAAGAAGACUCUUUUUGGUUUAUUGUAGCACCUUGGAACUAAAGCCAAUUUAAUCUCUUUUGAAUAAAUAUGUUAAUGUCUCUUUUGGCUGGCUUGGGAACCUGCUUUAUAACAAUCUGAACACAUGCAUCAAAACUGUUUAUGAGCUUUCCCAAAUGUACAGCUUGAAGCUUCAGGCUUUUAUCAAGUUCAUUAAAAUCCCUCAAGACUCCAGAAGGUAAAAAACACUGAUUCAGACACCACUAAAAUCAGUGCAAACACUCCUAUGGAUCGUUCCACAAGGAACAUUGAGAAGCUUGUUUUCUGCAAGUGAUAUUACCACCACACGUAGGUGGCUCUUGCUCACCACCUGCAGCUCUAUCACAUUCAUUAAUUUCUAAUUAAUACAUAUAAUUUGCAAGGGGUUGUUCUACCCUCUUUUUGCAUGCGGAUCAUGAAGUCCCAGCUACCUUAGUGCUAUGCACAGAGUGCAAGGGCAUACUGAAAUGAGAUCCUGCCAACGAGCCAAAUCCCUUCUGAUAAAUACACUAACUGGAGCCAAUAGAUAUGGAAGGUACUCGUUUCAUAGAAAUGGUCCAUAGGGAACAGCAUGUGUUUGUACUUGAGAUAGUUUUUGCAUUGCCUGCCAUACUGUCAGGAGUGUUUUGAGUUAGGUGGACAUUUUAAAGUUCUUCUGGUGAAUGUAGGUUACAGAACAAUAUUGGAACAAGCAAACGUAAUAGAGUAUUUCCAAGCCUGAAACUUUCUUGGAUAUCCUUAUUCAUGCAAAGCAAAUAGUAGAUUCCUUUUUGACAAUUUCUCAUGCUCUGGAUAAACAUGGACUGGUAUUUCUGAGUUUCCCAGCUCAAAUUUCCACACAAGUACUUCUCUGCCUUACCUUCUGCUUUCAAUCCAGAUGAUGCAGAAACCCACUAUAAUAGCUCCUUUGUGGGAACAAAGGAUACAAAUCUUCAUUUCAACCUCUGCAUUUUGGUCUUUAAAUCAGAAAAUAUUUAUUCUCUUUUAAUGAAAUAUAAGCUAAGCCGGAGAGGAUGAGAUUCUCCAGAUUGAAGGCUUACUGAUCAGUGUUUAUUCAGAGUUUUACUUCCAAACCUCUAGAGCUUCUCAAUCCAUUAUUACAUUUCCAAGUCUUGGCUGCCCUAUCGCUUUGAAGGAAGAAGGUAAGAUGAUUCUAGCAUUUAGCAACAGCAAUCUGGAAAAUUCCCUCUUCCUUCUUUUGCCAUUAAAAUAGCUUUCAUCUGCAGGUCUGCAUUCCCACCUGAGGAGUAAUUUCUUAAUAUCUGGCAGGAUCUCUUCUUCACAUUAUCUAAUCGGUUUCUAGAAGAUGGGUUUUUUUUUCUCCCUCUAAUCUCUCUGUGAUGAAUUCCUGCCUCUCUGCUCUAGCAUUUGUUCCCCUAGCAGCAUUUGUGAGCCAAGACUGUGAUUUCAGCCUCACAGUUCACAAACUUCAACCGCCGAGAGAGAGAGGAGGGCAGGAAGAGGUCUUCAUAAGAGGUUUCAGGUGUAUUGUGCAGUGCUGGCUUCCAGCUCCUAACUGUGAGCCUAAAAAUAUUUUAACCUUAAGGAUACAGCUUGCUUUGAAACAAAGCGGAACAAAGCUAAACUGAACUGUGAGUGAGCUUUUCUGGUUGAACGUAAAACCACAAGGUGUGUCAGGGACUAUUCCCACUGCUGCUCCACUAAGCAUUAGGUUACUGCUUUCCUACUCAGGUGAUUAAAGUUAAGUAUGCAAAUUCACAGCUGUGCCCACCUAGAUAAGAGGCAGUCCUGUGGGAGCUAAGCAUGCACAGCACUGAUGUAAGCGUGGUUUGGCUUCAGUGUGCCUCAUUCUUGUCUUUGGAAUCAUGUCCAGUGUGUUCAAAUUUGUCCCAGUGGGUCAGAUAAGCCUUGGUGUUCCAUCCAGCAGAGACCAGCUGCUCAGGUGCCUAUGAGCUGGUUCUGCCAGCCUGUGAAGGUUCAAAGAGGGCCUCCUGGAGAUACUUUCAUUUUCUUCAUACAUUUAUUGACAGCAAAUACCUUGGUAUCACUGACUGUGAUCUGUCAAGAUCCUUUUCAGCACUGUUUUUCCACAUACAUCAUGUCAUCCAUGAUGCAGAGAUUCUUUCUUCUCCACUGACUUCAUUUUCAGCAUGUAUUUUACUGAAACUUUUGCAUAACUGCGUAACCUGAGGACCACAAACCUGUUUGGCUGCAUAUAGUUUCUUCUUUUUCUCAAACAUGAUAUGUACAAAGUGGCAGACUAACUUUUGAGUUGGAAACUUCAGUCCUUAACAGGAUAGGCUAAGAAAGCUCAUCAUAAAACACAGGCGAAAGAAAUCAUUUUUCUUUCCCAGUGAACUUUUCAUGCUUAGGAUGCAAAAUAACUGUUUGCACUGAUACAUCCUCUUGAAAGUAUGCAGUAGGAACAUAGAAAAAAUGGUUCAAGAAUGACAAUACAGAUACUGUCUACUGAACAAGACACCGACUGAGUGCUACAGAGCUGUGGAUAUGAGUGAGAAGGAGCAAUUCUCCAGCCACUGCUCACUUAAGAGCUAAUAGGUUUGAGAAAAAAACACCUCAUCAGUUCCUGUAAAGCACCUCUGUUCAAAAGUAAGUUUUUAGCAUUUGGGAGCCUGGUAACCUGACACAGACACAGAAGUUAAUAAGAUGUAAUUAUUGUCUGAAUCUUCAGUCAAAAUUAAAUUUUACCUAACACGUAACAUGUUUUCAUUACUGAUACAGAUCUAAAUUUGAACCACAUGGAAGCUGACAUCUCAGAUUCAUGAAGUAUUCAGAAGUCAGAAAAAGUCCUUGCUGUAUAAUUACUGAUCCUAAGCUGCAAGUACAGCUUUGUGCCUGUGCAACAGAGGAAGCCUGACAGCUCCGGAUCCAGCCGCAAUGCAGUGCACCAGGCGAGCUCACACCAUGCAGCAGGACAUAAAGCUUAGGUACGGGGCUGUAAGGGUGCUUGGUAAUGGGCUACACUGCCCCUGUAAGAUCACAGCAUUGGCAGCAUCCUUCUCACAGUGCAUCUAUGCUAUCCCUCUUCUUCUGUCAGCUCUGCGUGGUCAAGCAUUCAUCUUAGCUUAAGCAAUGACUGCAGAUAUUAUUGGCAGAACUCCGUGCCUGGCUCAAGUGAGCCUUUGGGCAGACUGCCAUCCAAGCACAUUUCAUCUCACUGUAAAUACAACACUUUUCAUACAUCUUUUACCAAAAUUGAGGAUAUACUGAUAUGAUUAUGUUAAUACAACAUUUUAAUAAACAGCAGCAUAAAAUAAUCAGUGUUUAAUAUCAUCUCUGGCAUGUGAAAUACAAAAAUGCACAUAUCUUAGUUAUAAAAUAGCCUUUGUUAUUACAUUUUCAUGCUUGCCUAAUUGAAAUGCCCAUAAUUAAUAAAUCAAUCGUCAAGUAAUACAGUGAUUAAACGCAUGCAGUGAAAACAAAGAAAAAUAUUUGUAUAAGGUAGUGGCUGAAUAUCACCAUAAUAUAUUUCAAGAACAUCUACAUCAGGGUAAAAAUAAAAAGAAACAGACCAAGAUAUAAAAUGCAGAGAUGUAUUUUCACUUCUGCUGUACAAAACAUCAUCACACUUUUGUGCAAAAAGAUAAAAAUAAAGUCAUAUUAUACAACAUUGUCAAUUGAGCAAAGAUUGUUUCCAUUGUGUACAAGAAAAAAUACGAUUCAGUACAAAAGAGAGACUGCGAAAAGUCGUUAAUGUACAGCACUUCUGUAACUCAUUAAAGUGGUUUCAAAUGAAUAUUGUAGAUUGCUCAUACCUGAAUACAUUUUAGUAAUUAUGCACGUCAUGUUUCUAGGAUGAAAAUUAACAUUAAUUCACAUUAUUAAAAUUGACAGUAAAUUGCUAUCAACGGAUCUGCUGCCUGAUGGAAUGCGAGUUUCCCUUCUUUCAGGGUUACUGGAGUCAGAGUCACUGAAAUUACAUAUUGAUCUGAAACAAUAAAUAUUACUGGGAAAAACUGUCAUAUAUAAAAGUGUGGUUUGGAGCCUUUCCAUUAAACAGUUGCAUAGCAACAAAAGGAUAUACAAUUUCCACUUUAUCUACCUAUAAAAAUUAUGAAAUGUUAUCUUUGAAGAAGUUGAUUCAGGUUCUGAAAUUAAAAUACUUUAAUUUCAUUUCCUUUAAGGCAAUUUCUUACAACUCCAGCCAUCUUCAGCAGCCAAUAGCAGAUGGUUUUCUCAAGCUGAUUAACUCAUGCUAUUGUGGUGUUGUAUAAAACACCCUUUUUGGCCUGAAUCUGGACUCAGACUCCCAACGUAACACAAGACCAAAAUCCUACCUGAAGGAAUUUAUCCAGCUCUCAGGUCACAUACUUGAAACAUAAUCCUCGACUGCAAAUAUUUUAACUAGCUAUUGGAACUGAAAUUGCACACCCAGUAGAUCGCCGAAUAUUUGCAUCUCCUAAAAAAA